CGCAUGCAUUUUAUUUGUGCUUGUGAUGAUAGUUGUACUUUCUAGAUACCUCUGUCACUGAAAAACACUUUUACAGAUGAUUUGCUGCAGCUAACAUUCUCUUGCAUCUUGUUUUUGUCUAGCAUCUUCCAAAGUCUUAAAGAACAUGUGUGAGAACUUCUACAAGUACUCAAAGCCCAAGAAGAUCCGAGUGUGUGUUGGAACCUGGAAUGUGAACGGCGGGAAACAGUUCCGCAGCAUAGCAUUCAAGAACCAGACCCUCACCGACUGGCUUCUUGAUGCACCCAAGUUAGCUGGCAUCCAGGAGUUUCAAGGUUGGAUUUUUAUAUCAGGGGUUUAAAAUCCUGACUGCAGUGUGACACUUCACUAAUUUAGAAAAGAAACUUGGCUUGCCUUUUUAAAAUUAGUUUGAAAGCCAGUAUUUCUCAGGCUAAGUCUGACAAAAUCUUACCUCACUUUUUAUUUAUAGAAAAUUUGCUAUUUAGUUAAAAAAAAAAAAA
RNAcentral lists this long non-coding RNA (500 nucleotides) under Rattus norvegicus (Norway rat). RNAcentral's name for it is "long non-coding RNA NONRATT006858". The record is from RNAcentral. Lineage: Eukaryota; Metazoa; Chordata; Mammalia; Rodentia; Muridae.